UACGUAGGGUGCAAGCGUUGUUCGGAAUCAUUGGGCGUAAAGCGCGUGUAGGUGGUUUGUUAAGUCGAUUGUGAAAUCCCUGGGCUCAACCGAGGAAGUGCAGUCGAAACUAACUGACUAGAAGAUGGUAGAGGAAGGUGGAAUUCCAAGUGUAGAGGUGAAAUUCGUAGAUAUUUGGAGGAAUACCAGCGGCGAAGGCGGCCUUCUGGGCCAUUCUUGACACUGAGACGCGAAAGCGUGGGUAGCAAACAGGAUUAGAUACCCUGGUAGUCCACGCUGUAAACGAUGGGUACUAGGUGUUGUGGGAAUUGACCCCUACAGUGCCGCAGCUAACGCAUUAAGUACCCCGCCUGGGAAGUACGGCCGCAAGGUUAAA
RNAcentral lists this ribosomal RNA (376 nucleotides) under uncultured bacterium. Its description in RNAcentral is "bacterial SSU rRNA". It matches the Rfam family "Bacterial small subunit ribosomal RNA", at positions 524 to 898 of the family's 1533-position model. The record is from RNAcentral.